RNAcentral lists this ribosomal RNA (301 nucleotides) under uncultured bacterium. RNAcentral describes it as "partial 16S ribosomal RNA". It matches the Rfam family "Bacterial small subunit ribosomal RNA", at positions 509 to 807 of the family's 1533-position model. The record is from RNAcentral.
CAGUAGCCGCGGGAAAACGUAGGUGGCGAGCGUUGUCCGGAUUUAUUGGGCGUAAAGGGAGUGUAGGCGGUCUUUUAAGUCUGAUGUGAAAGCCCACGGCUCAACCGUGGAGGGUCAUUGGAAACUGGGAGACUUGAGUGCAGAAGAGGAGAGCGGAAUUCCAUGUGUAGCGGUGAAAUGCGUAGGUAUAUGGAGGAACACCAGUGGCGAAGGCGGCUCUCUGGUCUGUAACUGACGCUCAUGCACGAAAGCGUGGGGAGCAAACAGGAUUAGAUACCCCAGUAGUCCCUGUCUCUUAUAC